Molecule: long non-coding RNA, 703 nt
Organism: Mauremys reevesii (Reeves's turtle)
Lineage: Eukaryota; Metazoa; Chordata; Testudines; Geoemydidae
Exons: 4
Source: RefSeq, a predicted model, not a curated record
UUCCAGAGACCUCUGACAUUUUCUGCUUCAGCCCCAGGGCCGGAGCUGUCAGCCAGCGGGGGCCCCAGAGGUCUCAGCUGCCAGCCCCAGAGGUCUGAGCCACGGUGGGGGGCCCCGCAGGUCUGAGCCACUAGCCCCAGAGCUCGAAACCUCUGUGGGGUGGUGGAGAUUCUAGAGCUCCCAGCCGCCGCGGGUGACAGCAGCAAUGGCUUGGAACUCUGGUCAUGUCAGCCGAUGGCCAGCUCACAAAACUAAAGAAAACACAGAAGACAUGCUAUCAGUGAGCUUGGUACGGAAUGACCAGGGUCAAAAUGACCCUUUAGGAUGGCACCACACUAAGAGCUCAAGUGAAUGACUGAUGAGAGGAAACAUGUUUAGAUGCAGAUUCCUCCUUCCAGGGCUGUAGAAAUUCAGUGAUGCCAUUUUCCUCUCACGGUGGCCGACCACUUUAAGGUCUGUGGCUAUAACACCUCAAGAGUUGGGUAAAGUUUCUUCAAUGAAUUGCUUUUUCCAUCAUUGCAUUUUUCAGGACCCAAAACUAUUUGAAAUUUGGCAAAUAGUUUCAGUGGAAAAAAAAAUGUUCAAGAGUUGAAAUGUUUCUUUUUGACCAUUUUGAAAUGUUUUAUCUUGGACUACUUUGUUUUGACUUUUCAUUUCAAAAUCUGGCCAAUUUAUAUUAAAAAAGGGUGAAAUACCCACACAA